Molecule: transfer RNA, 83 nt
Rfam family: tRNA
About the family: Transfer RNA (tRNA) molecules are approximately 80 nucleotides in length. Their secondary structure includes four short double-helical elements and three loops (D, anti-codon, and T loops). Further hydrogen bonds mediate the characteristic L-shaped molecular structure. tRNAs have two regions of fundamental functional importance: the anti-codon, which is responsible for specific mRNA codon recognition, and the 3' end, to which the tRNAs corresponding amino acid is attached (by aminoacyl-tRNA synthetases). tRNAs cope with the degeneracy of the genetic code in two manners: having more than one tRNA (with a specific anti-codon) for a particular amino acid; and 'wobble' base-pairing, i.e. permitting non-standard base-pairing at the 3rd anti-codon position.
GGUGAGAUUGGCCGAGCGGUCCGGGGCGCUAGUUUAGGGUUCUGGUCUCGAAAGGGGCGUGGGUCCGAAUCCCACUCUCAUCA